CAAAGUGCUUACAGUGCA
RNAcentral lists this non-coding RNA (18 nucleotides) under Oryzias latipes (Japanese medaka). Its record names the gene ola-miR-17. Lineage: Eukaryota; Metazoa; Chordata; Actinopteri; Beloniformes; Adrianichthyidae. The record is from miRBase by way of RNAcentral. RNAcentral also lists the same sequence under 1 other name.